GUGGGGAAUAUUGGACAAUGGGCGAAAGCCUGAUCCAGCCAUGCCGCGUGUGUGAAGAAGGUCUUCGGAUUGUAAAGCACUUUAAGUUGGGAGGAAGGGCAGUAAGUUAAUACCUUGCUGUUUUGACGUUACCAACAGAAUAAGCACCGGCUAACUUCGUGCCAGCAGCCGCGGUAAUACGAAGGGUGCAAGCGUUAAUCGGAAUUACUGGGCGUAAAGCGCGCGUAGGUGGUUCAGCAAGUUGAAGGUGAAAUCCCCGGGCUCAACCUGGGAAAUGCCUCGAAAACUACUGAGCUAGAGUACGGUAGAGGGUAGUGGAAGUUCCUGUGUAGCGGUGAAAUGCGUAGAUAUAGGAAGGAACACCAGUGGCGAAGGCGACUACCUGGACUGAUACUGACACUGAGGUGCGAAAGCGUGGGGAGCAAACAGGAUUAGAUACCCCGGUAGUCC
Molecule: ribosomal RNA, 450 nt
Filed under: uncultured bacterium
Lineage: Bacteria
Description: bacterial SSU rRNA
Rfam family: Bacterial small subunit ribosomal RNA
Source: RNAcentral